GAUGACGUCACGCUGCAACUUCCAGCGAGAAGAAAACCUUUACUGCGGGCCGUAUUUACAAAAAAUGAACGAUUUUGCUGCGCAUUCAUUCACUCAAUGUUCAUUUGGUGAACAUUAUUUCACUGGAUGUUGGUCCGGAUAUCAUUUUAUGUAAACACGGCCCGCAUUUAGAGCAGAAAAGAAAAAGAAAGUCGACAGUAAAAGAAGAACGUGGAUAAGUCCAUUUGAAAAGACAUUUCUUCUCAACUGCGUAUCACGGUGGUUUGCAAACACCCCAGGCAUAACAAUCUCAUCUAAUUACUGAGAUCAUCUUUGGAUGGUGAUGCAUUAGAUGAAAUACCCAAAUCAAGUCAAUACGAAGAAAACCUUCAAGAGACGCGUCGUAAGCGACCAAUUGACACGGUACUCCCAUCAGCAUAUUCAACCAACAGAAUAAAACGGAAACCAGAAUACUUGGAUGAUUAUGAACUGUACAUUUUAAAAUUACAUUAAAGAUAAGUUUUCAAUAUUGAGAAAAGGGAAAGAAUGUAGGAUCUCAGUAUGCUAGGUUAAUCUUAGUAGCCUUGACUAGCUGUAGAAAUUAAUGACAGAGAAUAAAUAUUCAUU
Molecule: long non-coding RNA, 606 nt
Organism: Aedes aegypti (yellow fever mosquito)
Lineage: Eukaryota; Metazoa; Arthropoda; Insecta; Diptera; Culicidae
Exons: 2
Source: RefSeq, a predicted model, not a curated record